UACGGAGGAUGCAAGCGUUAUCCGGAAUGAUUGGGCGUAAAGCGUCCGUAGGUGGCUGUGUAAGUCUGCUGUUAAAGAGUGAGGCUCAACCUCAUAAAGGCAGUGGAAACUACAUGGCUAGAGUGCGUUCGGGGCAGAGGGAAUUCCUGGUGUAGCGGUGAAAUGCGUAGAGAUCAGGAAGAACACCGGUGGCGAAAGCGCUCUGCUAGGCCGCAACUGACACUGAGGGACGAAAGCUAGGGGAGCGAAUGGG
This 253-nucleotide ribosomal RNA is filed under the name uncultured bacterium. Its description in RNAcentral is "partial 16S ribosomal RNA". It matches the Rfam family "Bacterial small subunit ribosomal RNA", at positions 524 to 776 of the family's 1533-position model. The record is from RNAcentral.